Molecule: long non-coding RNA, 521 nt
Organism: Rhinichthys klamathensis goyatoka
Lineage: Eukaryota; Metazoa; Chordata; Actinopteri; Cypriniformes; Leuciscidae
Exons: 2
Source: RefSeq, a predicted model, not a curated record
CGUGUGUGUGUGUGUGUGUGUGUGUGUGUGUGUGUGUAUGUGUAGCUGCUGAAAGUGUAAAGUGUAGUGGGAGUUUGAGGGAGGGAAAUAUUGUGGAUUUAGACUCAUGUGACUGGUGAAAAAUUACAGGCAACAUCUAGAUAGCAGAUUGACAAAAUAAUGCGAGUUUUGCUUGCUGCGAAACUGUUCACAUCCAGCUAUUUAGACUUGUUCAAGUUUGGAGUCUUUUUUCUUUUUCUAAAAAAUGUAUAAAUUCAGCAAGGAUGCAUUAAGUUGAUAAAAUUGACAGUAAAAACAAGCAUAAUAUUACAAAACAUUUCUAUUUCAAAUCAAUGCUUCUUUUGAACUUUCUAUUUAUCAAAUAAUCCUGAACUAUCACAGGAAUACAUUACAUUAUUACAUUGUAUAUUCAAAUAGAAAACAGUUAUUUUAAAUGGUCAUAAUAUUUAACAAUAUUAGUGUUUUUACUUUAUUUUUGAUCAUCAGCCUUGGUGAGAAUAAGAUACUUUUUAAUUUUUUUU